GUAUGCGUUUAUGGAGUAGUUUGAAUAACCAACCAGCUAAACUACUCCAAAAUAAAACAUGGACACAGCGUAAAAAUUCAAAGUUGAAAAGAAAACCUGAAUUGCUGUGUCUCAAAUGUGCCCCUUCAACAUCCACAUAUACCUGGCAAAGGUACAUACAGGGGUAUUACUGUACUCAGAUGACAUAGCUGAACACUAUGAAGUGUUAUACUGCCAUAGCAUAUAAGGUUUGCAAAAUAUACAGUAGAAGCUCACUGUGUGGG
Pelobates cultripes (western spadefoot toad) is the source of this 263-nucleotide non-coding RNA. The record is from the annotation of a GenBank genome assembly. NCBI's taxonomy places the organism in Eukaryota, Metazoa, Chordata, Amphibia, Anura, Pelobatidae.